This 253-nucleotide ribosomal RNA is filed under the name uncultured bacterium. RNAcentral's name for it is "partial 16S ribosomal RNA". It matches the Rfam family "Bacterial small subunit ribosomal RNA", at positions 524 to 776 of the family's 1533-position model. The record is from RNAcentral.
UACGAAGGGAGCUAGCGUUGUUCGGAAUCACUGGGCGUAAAGCGCACGUAGGCGGAUGUGUCAGUCAGGGGUGAAAUCCCGGAGCUCAACUUCGGAACUGCCUUUGAUACUGCGAAUCUUGAGUCCGAUAGAGGUGGGUGGAAUUCCUAGUGUAGAGGUGAAAUGCGUAGAUAUCAGGAGGAAUACCGGUGGUGCAGACGGCUCUCUGGACCGCGACUGACGCUGAGACACGAAAGCGUGGGUAGCAAACAGG